GAUGAACGCUGGCGGCGUGCCUAAUACAUGCAAGUCGAGCGAACGGACGAGAAGCUUGCUUCUCUGAUGUUAGCGGCGGACGGGUGAGUAACACGUGGAUAACCUACCUAUAAGACUGGAUAACUUCGGGAAACCGGAGCUAAUACCGGAUAAUAUUUUUAACCGCCUGGUUCAAAAGUGAAAGACGGUCUUGCCGUCACUUAUAGAUGGAACCGCGCUGCAUUAGCUAGUUGGUAAGGUAACGGCUUACCAUGGCAACGAUGCAUAGCCGACCUGAGAGGGUGAUCGGCCACACUGGAACUGAGACACGGUCCAGACUCCUACGGGAGGCAGCAGUAGGGAAUCUUCCGCAAUGGGCGAAAGCCUGACGGAGCAACGCCGCGUGAGUGAUGAAGGUCUUCGGAUCGUAAAACUCUGUUAUUAGGGAAGAACAUAUGUGUAAGUAACUGUGCACAUCUUGACGGUACCUAAUCAGAAAGCCACGGCUAACUACGUG
This 496-nucleotide ribosomal RNA is filed under the name uncultured bacterium. RNAcentral's name for it is "partial 16S ribosomal RNA". It matches the Rfam family "Bacterial small subunit ribosomal RNA", at positions 28 to 507 of the family's 1533-position model. The record is from RNAcentral.